GCUCGUAGUUGGAUCUCGGCGGACAGAAGUCGGUCCGAAUGCUUUCGGUMCUGGCUUGUUUGUCCGUGUGUUUUGCCAGAGGCAGGCGGGUGCUCUUCGCCGAGUGUCCGUUUGUGCUGGCAGGUUUACUUUGAAAAAAUUAGAGUGCUCAAAGCAAGCUCUCACGCUUGGAUAUUCGUGCAUGGAAUAAUAGAAUAGGAUGUCGUUUCUAUUUUGUUGGUUUUCGGAAAUCGACAUAAUGAUUAAUAGGGACAGUCGGGGGCAUUUGUAUUCAAACGACAGAGGUGAAAUUCUUGGACCGUUUGAAGACAAACUACUGCGAAAGCAUUUGCCAAGAAUGUUUUCAUUAAUCAAGAACGAAAGUUAGAGGUUCGAAGGCGAUUAGAUACCGCCCUAGUUCUAACCAUAAACGAUGCCAGCUAGCGAUCUGCAGGCGUUUUUCUUUACGACCUUGCAGGGAGCUUCCGGGAAACCAAAGCUUGUGGGUUCCAGGGGAAGUAUGGUUGCAAAGCUGAAACUUAAAGGAAUUGACGGAAGGGCACCACCAGGAGUGGAGCCUGUGGCUUAAUUUGA
RNAcentral lists this ribosomal RNA (573 nucleotides) under Heliodiaptomus viduus. RNAcentral's name for it is "SSU rRNA". It matches the Rfam family "Eukaryotic small subunit ribosomal RNA", at positions 628 to 1209 of the family's 1831-position model. The record is from RNAcentral. Lineage: Eukaryota; Metazoa; Arthropoda; Copepoda; Calanoida; Diaptomidae.